This 312-nucleotide ribosomal RNA is filed under the name Biomphalaria straminea. RNAcentral describes it as "partial 16S ribosomal RNA". Lineage: Eukaryota; Metazoa; Mollusca; Gastropoda; Planorbidae. The record is from RNAcentral.
UUUAAAUGGCCGCAGUACCUUGACUGUGCUAAGGUAGCAUAAUCAAUUGGCUUCUAAUUAAAGUCUGGAAUGAAAGGAAAUAUGAAGUAAUUCUAUCUUAAAGGAUUUUUUUUGAAUUUAUUUAAAUGAUGAAAAUAUCAUUUUAUAGAAAAAAGACGAGAAGACCCUUAGAGUUUUGAUAUUUAUAUAUUUUUGUUGGGGCGACAGGUAAACAUAUAACUUUACGAAUUAUCAUAUUGAUCGAUUUUUUAUAAGAAUAAUAAAAACUACCUUAGGGAUAACAGCAUUAUAUUUUUUUAUGAUUGUGACCUC